This 489-nucleotide ribosomal RNA is filed under the name uncultured bacterium. RNAcentral describes it as "partial 16S ribosomal RNA". It matches the Rfam family "Bacterial small subunit ribosomal RNA", at positions 30 to 507 of the family's 1533-position model. The record is from RNAcentral.
AUUGAACGCUGGCGGCAGGCCUAACACAUGCAAGUCGAACGGUAACAGGAAGAAGCUUGCUUCUUUGCUGACGAGUGGCGGACGGGUGAGUAAUGUCUGGGAAACUGCCUGAUGGAGGGGAUAACUACUGGAAACGGUAGCUAAUACCGCAUAACGUCGCAAGACCAAAGAGGGGGACCUUCGGGCCUCUUGCCAUCGGAUGUGCCCAGAUGGGAUUAGCUAGUAGGUGGGGUAACGGCUCACCUAGGCGACGAUCCCUAGCUGGUCUGAGAGGAUGACCAGCCACACUGGAACUGAGACACGGUCCAGACUCCUACGGGGGGCAGCAGUGGGGAAUAUUGCACAAUGGGCGCAAGCCUGAUGCAGCCAUGCCGCGUGUAUGAAGAAGGCCUUCGGGUUGUAAAGUACUUUCAGCGGGGAGGAAGGGAGUAAAGUUAAUACCUUUGCUCAUUGACGUUACCCGCAGAAGAAGCACCGGCUAACUCCGUG